This 511-nucleotide ribosomal RNA is filed under the name uncultured Paenibacillus sp. Its description in RNAcentral is "bacterial SSU rRNA". It matches the Rfam family "Bacterial small subunit ribosomal RNA", at positions 8 to 523 of the family's 1533-position model. Lineage: Bacteria; Bacillati; Bacillota; Bacilli; Caryophanales; Paenibacillaceae. The record is from RNAcentral.
AGAGUUUGAUUAUGGCUCAGGACGAACGCUGGCGGCGUGCCUAAUACAUGCAAGUCGAGCGGACUUGAUGAGAAGCUUGCUUCUCUGAUAGUUAGCGGCGGACGGGUGAGUAACACGUAGGCAACCUGCCUGCAAGCCUGGGAUAACUGCGGGAAACCGCAGCUAAUACCGGAUACGCAGUUGAGAUGCAUAUCUUAACUGGGAAAGGCGGAGCAAUCUGUCGCUUGUAGAUGGGCCUGCGGCGCAUUAGCUAGUUGGUGAGGUAACGGCUCACCAAGGCGACGAUCCGUAGCUGGUCUGAGAGGAUGACCAGCCACACUGGGACUGAGACACGGCCCAGACUCCUACGGGAGGCAGCAGUGGGGAAUAUUGGACAAUGGGCGCAAGCCUGAUCCAGCCAUGCCGCGUGAGUGAUGAAGGCCCUAGGGUUGUAAAGCUCUUUCAACGGUGAAGAUAAUGACGGUAACCGUAGAAGAAGCCCCGGCUAACUUCGUGUCAGCCGCCGCGGUAA